Molecule: microRNA, 24 nt
Filed under: Ananas comosus (pineapple)
Lineage: Eukaryota; Viridiplantae; Streptophyta; Magnoliopsida; Poales; Bromeliaceae
Description: microRNA s0909_c119a
Source: RNAcentral
GAUGGAGCUUCCGAAUCGACGAUC